Molecule: long non-coding RNA, 147 nt
Organism: Gavialis gangeticus (Gharial)
Lineage: Eukaryota; Metazoa; Chordata; Crocodylia; Gavialidae
Exons: 3
Source: RefSeq, a predicted model, not a curated record
UCCCCACUCUAUCCUUUCUGUAUAGCUUAUAGCCCUCAAUGUGUACUGCCCAGUCAUGGGUAGAGCCCCACCACGUUUCUGUUAACCCCACAAAGUCGUAAGUGUUCUCUGCAACCAGGAGUUCUAGUUUCUGGCAAGGAAUGCUGA